AGCGCGGGCUGGCGCCGAGGACCGGCCUUGCGAGCGGCGCGCACUAUAAAGCUGCGCGUGCCGCAACCCGCCCCCGUUUUGGAGAGAGAAAUGCUGGGGUGCAGCUUCAAGCUUAGGACCACCCACCAUGCCCAUCCAGCAUCCCUCCAGACUCUCUGCUGUUUCCUGCCUAGGCGUGGCUGCAGCCAUGGGUAGGAAAGUGCUGGCACCCACCCACCUGGGCCGGAGCUGGUUCUGCUCCUGCUACAGGGACACUGAGCUGGCUAUCUCGGCACUUCGGGCAAGAACUGCAACAGGCUCUCCUGGGUCCUGCAGGUGUACAGCCGGGCCCCUGCCUUGUGCCUCAGCUCUGGAGAGCUGCUGCUGCUGGGUGACCUGAUCCAACCUGACAAGGUGCCAUCUUCAGCUACCACUGCAAGGCCCUGAGGGCAACAGCACCACAGCACUGCCCACCCGGCUGCUGAUGGCCUGGUGCCAGCUGGGAGUCCUCCCGCCACUUGGAGGCCACUGAGCCGCCCUUCCAGCCUCGGCCCACCAUGGACAGGGGUAUCCAGCUUCCUCCUCAACCUCGUCCUCUGCCCCUGAGCCAGUGACGCCCAAGGACAUGUCUGUUACCUGGCUCCUGUACCAGCGUGAGCUGGUCAAGGGCAUGACAGUGCUGGAGGCCGUCCUGGAGAUCCAGGCCAUCACUGACAGCAGGCUGCUCUCCAUGGUGCCAGGGCCCGCCAGGCCACCAGGCUCAUGCUGGGACCCAACCCAGUGCACAAGGACUUGGCUGCUGAGCCACACACCCAGGAGAAGGUGGAUAAGUGGGCUACCAAGGGCUUCCUGCAGGCUGGGGGAGGAGCUG
Molecule: small RNA, 850 nt
Filed under: Pongo abelii (Sumatran orangutan)
Lineage: Eukaryota; Metazoa; Chordata; Mammalia; Primates; Hominidae
Description: processed transcript
Source: RNAcentral